AUGAUGUUGGUUUAAUUCGAUGCAACGCGAAAACCUUACCCACCUUUGACAUGUACGGAAUCCUUUAGAGAUAGAGGAGUGCUCGAAAGAGAACCGUAACACAGGUGCUGCAUGGCUGUCGUCAGCUCGUGUCGUGAGAUGUUGGGUUAAGUCCCGCAACGAGCGCAACCCUUGUCAUUAGUUGCUACAUUCAGUUGGGCACUCUAAUGAGACUGCCGGUGACAAACCGGAGGAAGGUGGGGAUGACGUCAAGUCCUCAUGGCCCUUAUAGGUGGGGCUACACACGUCAUACAAUGGAUGGUACAAAGGGUCGCCAACCCGCGAGGGGGAGCCAAUCCCAUAAAGCCAUUCGUAGUCCGGAUCGCAGUCUGCAACUCGACUGCGUGAAGCCGGAAUCGCUAGUAAUCGCGGAUCAGCAUGCCGCGGUCGAAUACGUUCCCGGGCCUU
This 447-nucleotide ribosomal RNA is filed under the name uncultured Acidovorax sp. RNAcentral's name for it is "bacterial SSU rRNA". It matches the Rfam family "Bacterial small subunit ribosomal RNA", at positions 936 to 1382 of the family's 1533-position model. The record is from RNAcentral. Lineage: Bacteria; Pseudomonadati; Pseudomonadota; Betaproteobacteria; Burkholderiales; Comamonadaceae.